UACGUAGGGUGCAAGCGUUGUCCGGAAUUAUUGGGCGUAAAGAGCUCGUAGGCGGCUUGUCACGUCGGGUGUGAAAGCCCGGGGCUUAACCCCGGGUCUGCAUUCGGUACGGGCAUGCUGGAGUUCGGUAGGGGAGACUGGAAUUCCUGGUGUAGCGGUGAAAUGCGCAGAUAUCAGGAGGAACACCGGUGGCGAAGGCGGGUCUCUGGGCCGAUACUGACGCUGAGGAGCGAAAGCGUGGGGAGCAAACAGG
RNAcentral lists this ribosomal RNA (253 nucleotides) under uncultured bacterium. RNAcentral describes it as "partial 16S ribosomal RNA". It matches the Rfam family "Bacterial small subunit ribosomal RNA", at positions 524 to 776 of the family's 1533-position model. The record is from RNAcentral.